RNAcentral lists this ribosomal RNA (756 nucleotides) under Triticum aestivum (bread wheat). Its description in RNAcentral is "partial small subunit ribosomal RNA". Lineage: Eukaryota; Viridiplantae; Streptophyta; Magnoliopsida; Poales; Poaceae. The record is from RNAcentral.
AUGAUCCCACGAGAGAUUGGUCAGCUGAAAGCACUCCUUUACCUGAACUUGAGUUCCAAUAAAUUUUAUGGAGACAUCCCACAAUCGAUCUGCAGCCUCACAAACCUGCAGGGGCUAGAUCUGUCUAAUAAUCAUCUGACAGGUGCAAUCCCUGCGGCAUUGGAGAACCUUCACUUCCUUUCCGAGUUCAACAUAUCAAACAACAAUCUAGAAGAACCUAUUCCAACAAAAGGCCAGCUGAGCACAUUUCAAGCUUCUAGUUUUAAUGGGAACCCAAAGCUGUGCGGCUCUGUGCUUAUAAACCAUUGCGGUUCGGUUGAAGCAGGCCCCGUCUACAUUACAUCUGCAAAAAAAUGCAUCGAUAAGGUCAUCUUUGUGAUUGCAUUUUGUGUGUUCUUUUGGGUAGCAGUGCUAUAUGGCCAUAUGUACCUGGACAUAUCAUGGGGCUGUUUGGAUUGCGCCCCCGUCAGCCCCGCCAAAAUCGGCCACGCCAAAAAGUCGGCGAGCAAUUUCACCGCCAAGAUCUCGCCAACGCAUGGGCGUAGGAACAGAACAGAACUACCAAAACUUUGGCAUGGCUACGACAUAUGGGCGUCAAUCCAAACAAGCGCCCCUGGUAGCGGUCAACGCCAAAAAAUUGGCAGGGCGUCCCACGGCUGCGAUCCAAACAGGCCCCAUAAUGAAAUAGCCAUAGAGUUUGGAAGAUUCAAUGGAUGCAAGAUUCCCAGAAGACGCCAUUGUCUUCACAUCGACUAG